Molecule: ribosomal RNA, 164 nt
Filed under: uncultured bacterium
Lineage: Bacteria
Description: partial 16S ribosomal RNA
Rfam family: Bacterial small subunit ribosomal RNA
Source: RNAcentral
UAGGGAAUCUUCCACAAUGGACGAAAGUCUGAUGGAGCAACGCCGCGUGAGUGAAGAAGGGUUUCGGCUCGUAAAACUCUGUUGUUAAAGAAGAACAUAUCUGAGAGUAACUGUUCAGGUAUUGACGGUAUUUAACCAGAAAGCCNCGGCUAACUACGUGCCAG